This 253-nucleotide ribosomal RNA is filed under the name uncultured bacterium. Its description in RNAcentral is "partial 16S ribosomal RNA". It matches the Rfam family "Bacterial small subunit ribosomal RNA", at positions 524 to 776 of the family's 1533-position model. The record is from RNAcentral.
UACAGAGGUGGCAAGCGUUGCUCGGAAUUACUGGGCGUAAAGGGCGCGUAGGCGGCCUUCUAAGUCGAACGUGAAAUCCCCGGGCUCAACCCGGGAACUGCGUCCGAUACUGGAAGGCUUGAAUCCGGGAGAGGGAUGUGGAAUUCCAGGUGUAGCGGUGAAAUGCGUAGAUAUCUGGAGGAACACCGGUGGCGAAGGCGGCAUCCUGGACCGGUAUUGACGCUGAGGCGCGAAAGCUAGGGGAGCAAACGGG